UGAACCUUUACUAUAGCUUGACACUGAACAUUGAGCCUUGAUGUGUAGGAUAGGUGGGAGGCUUAGAAGUGUGGACGCCAGUCUGCAUGGAGCCGACCUUGAAAUACCACCCUUUAAUGUUUGAUGUUCUAACGUUGACCCGUAAUCCGGGUUGCGGACAGUGUCUGGUGGGUAGUUUGACUGGGGCGGUCUCCUCCUAAAGAGUAACGGAGGAGCACGAAGGUUGGCUAAUCCUGGUCGGACAUCAGGAGGUUAGUGCAAUGGCAUAAGCCAGCUUGACUGCGAGCGUGACGGCGCGAGCAGGUGCGAAAGCAGGUCAUAGUGAUCCGGUGGUUCUGAAUGGAAGGGCCAUCGCUCAACGGAUAAAAGGUACUCCGGGGAUAACAGGCUGAUACCGCCCAAGAGUUCAUAUCGACGGCGGUGUUUGGCACCUCGAUGUCGGCUCAUCACAUCCUGGGGCUGAAGUAGGUCCCAAGGGUAUGGCUGUUCGCCAUUUAAAGUGGUACGCGAGCUGGGUUUAGAACGUCGUGAGACAGUUCGGUCCCUAUCUGCCGUGGGCGCUGGAGAACUGAGGGGGGCUGCUCCUAGUACGAGAGGACCGGAGUGGACGCAUCACUGGUGUUCGGGUUGUCAUGCCAAUGGCACUGCCCGGUAGCUAAAUGCGGAAGAGAUAAGUGCUGAAAGCAUCUAAGCACGAAACUUGCC
Molecule: ribosomal RNA, 705 nt
Filed under: Escherichia coli
Lineage: Bacteria; Pseudomonadati; Pseudomonadota; Gammaproteobacteria; Enterobacterales; Enterobacteriaceae
Description: partial 23S ribosomal RNA
Rfam family: Bacterial large subunit ribosomal RNA
Source: RNAcentral